UACGGGGGGGGCAAGCGUUGUUCGGAAUUACUGGGCGUAAAGCGCACGUAGGCGGCUUUGUAAGUUAGAGGUGAAAGCCCGGGGCUCAACUCCGGAAUUGCCUUUAAGACUGCAUCGCUAGAAUUGUGGAGAGGUAAGUGGAAUUCCGAGUGUAGAGGUGAAAUUCGUAGAUAUUCGGAAGAACACCAGUGGCGAAGGCGACUUACUGGACACAUAUUGACGCUGAGGUGCGAAAGCGUGGGGAGCGAACGGG
Molecule: ribosomal RNA, 253 nt
Filed under: uncultured bacterium
Lineage: Bacteria
Description: partial 16S ribosomal RNA
Rfam family: Bacterial small subunit ribosomal RNA
Source: RNAcentral